This 496-nucleotide ribosomal RNA is filed under the name uncultured bacterium. RNAcentral's name for it is "partial 16S ribosomal RNA". It matches the Rfam family "Bacterial small subunit ribosomal RNA", at positions 29 to 507 of the family's 1533-position model. The record is from RNAcentral.
AUGAACGCUGGCGGCGUGCCUAAUACAUGCAAGUCGAGCGAACAGAUGAGGAGCUUGCUCCUCUGACGUUAGCGGCGGACGGGUGAGUAACACGUGGAUAACCUACCUAUAAGACUGGGAUAACUUCGGGAAACCGGAGCUAAUACCGGAUAAUAUAUUGAACCGCAUGGUUCAAUAGUGAAAGACGGUUUUGCUGUCACUUAUAGAUGGAUCCGCGCCGCAUUAGCUAGUUGGUAAGGUAACGGCUUACCAAGGCAACGAUGCGUAGCCGACCUGAGAGGGUGAUCGGCCACACUGGAACUGAGACACGGUCCAGACUCCUACGGGAGGCACCAGUAGGGAAUCUUCCGCAAUGGGCGAAAGCCUGACGGAGCAACGCCGCGUGAGUGAUGAAGGUCUUCGGAUCGUAAAACUCUGUUAUUAGGGAAGAACAAAUGUGUAAGUAACUAUGCACGUCUUGACGGUACCUAAUCAGAAAGCCACGGCUAACUACGUG